CGCACACAUGCGCAGUAAGGUCCGCUGUCCUGUCAGUUUCUUCCUCGCGGUUUUCUGUGGGAAAGAUGGCAGGCAAAAGCCUCCUUUCGCUUUUUGCAGUUCUCUUGUGGAGCCCGAAGGUGCUGUGUUAUGUGGAAGACCUGGACGACACAUUCAAGGAAAAGAGGAUGGAUGAAGUCUGGUUGGUGGAAUUCUACGCUCCCUGGUGUGGCUACUGUAAGAAGCUGGAACCAGUGUGGUAUGAAGUUGGGGCAGAGCUGAAAAGUUCAGGGUCACUGAUCAACGUGGGUAAAAUGGAUGCCACUGCAUUCUCCAGUGUUGCCUCUGAGUUUGGAGUCCGUGGCUACCCCACAAUUAAACUACUGAAGGGAGACCUGGCAUAUAACUACAAAGGUCCCAGGACCAAAGAGGACAUCAUUGAGUUUGCCAACAGAGUUGCUGGGCCGGUGGUGCGGGCGCUCCCCAGUAGGCAGAUGUUUGAAGGUGUCUUGAACCGGCACAGCGUGCUCUUCGUGUACAUCGGUGGAGAUUCACCCUUGAAGGAGAAGUACAUUGAGGUGGCAUCGGAGAUGAUCGUGUACACCUACUUCUUCUCUGCCUUGGAAGACGCCUUGCCCACAAAUGUUACUCUGCAGGAACUUCCCUCAGUCGCUGUGUUCAAGGACAGAACCUACUUUCUGUAUGACGCGUACCAGGAUGGUGAGCUGUCAUCCUGGGUGAACAGAGAGCGCUUCCGGGGCUACCUCCACAUCGACGGCUUCACCCUGUACGAGCUGGGAGAGACGGGCAAACUGGUCGCGAUCGCAGUUGUUGAUGAGAAGAACCUCACUGAGGAGAGUGUCAGGCUGAAGACUUUAAUUCAAAGGGUGGCAACUGAAUACAGAGACCACUUUAGCAGAGACUUCCAGUUUGGCCACAUGGAUGGAAACGACUACAUCAACAGCCUAAUAAUGGGCGAGGUGCCAGUGCCGUCCAUCAUUGUGCUCAACACAUCCAACGACCAAUACUUCCUGCUCGGCGAGCCGGUGAAGACACUUGACCAGCUGGUCCAGUUCAUCCACAGCGUGCUGGAUGGGAGUGCUCAGGCACAAGGAGGAGAUGGCAUCUUCCAGCGGAUCAAGAGAGUGGCCUUCGAUGCCAGAUCCACUGUAAUGUCUGUGUUCCGUAGCUCCCCUCUGCUGGGCUGCUUCCUGUUUGGCCUGCCUUUAGGCGUCAUCAGCCUCAUGUGCUAUGGCAUUUGCACUGCCGAGUCGGACGACGGCACCGAGGAGCUGGACCUGCUCAAGAGGGAGGCCCUUCCUGAAGAGGAUGAGUACGAGGACAGGAGAAGAGAGGGUGAGGAAGAAGAGGAGGAAGAGAGGCAGGAAGAGAAGAGUGCUGCAGACAAGAAGGUCGAUUAACACUGACAAUCUCCCACAUCAUCUCCAAGUGGAGGUGGAUUCCAUUGAGUGGUGCAGCACCUGGGUGCUGGAGCUUUGGAGCCGCUGUUCGAGAGUGAAGAUGGGCUGUUUGUGGCCGUUCCGAAAGCAUUCGAAGGGGAAUCCGCAGCGUUGAGAAGUGCUGUUGGGCGGCAGUUUCAGCUUGAGAUCAUCAAGAUCAUAUUCAGCAUGUCCUGAGAUGGCUGGAAAUGAGAGAGUUUACAAAAAAAAAAUCCACCUUGUCUUGUCUGGACUCCAGGGCUUGGUCACCUGAAGCUCCCAGAAGAGGUUGGCACCUUGCAGACGCUCAGCACUCAGGCCUCUGUCUGUGUUUGUGGUAGGUGCCACAUGUGGAUUCUGUCCAAGGUGACACUGGGUGGCAAGGACAGCACCGGUGCUGGACCUUCACCAUUCAUUAUUCACCCAUGCAUUGAAAUCCCAGUCCUGCGGGGGACUGAGAUGAAAGCGUUUCUCAUGGGAACCUCCAAACCCGGAUGACAUGAAUAGACACUUUGAAGGCGUCGGGUUCUGCCAGCCGGCACGCUCGACCACCAGGAGAGCCUGUGGAUUAAAGAAGCACCCAUAAUGCCUCGCUCUAUGAAUUUCCCGCUGGAGAGCUCCUUCAGAUCCCGUGUCUUUUGCUGCUGCCGGCAGCCAAAUGGCUCAGUCUGGUCCUGCGGCGGAUGGAGUGGAGUGAGGGGUAGCUGCAUUGUUUUGGCGAGACAGAGAAUCGCUCAGGCCAGAUGGAACCCUCUGUCUCGCCGCCAGUUGGCAGCCGUAGCUGUCGCGGUCCUGGAUGGAACGGGAUGGGACUGCCGUUUCCAUCAUGCGCCACACGGUCUGACGCUCGCCUUUACGCCGGGUGCCAGAGACGACGCUCAAGUGGGGAGACGAACAUUGCGCUCGAAUCGGACGCAAGCCCUAAUGCUUCAGCGUCUAUCGUUAUAGGUCCCUCGCGAGUAUAGCCAUCAGCGUGGAUCACAGUAAAAUGCAGCGUCCUCUGAAAACACAGACCACUCCAAGCUUGAAAUAGGAUGGAUUCAUCGAUGAGUUACUGUGAUUGCGAUCCGUGGGAUGCUGUGCAUGCAGCGGAAGUAACGCCCGUAUAAAGAACAGUAGCUGAAUCUGACAUUUUUGUACUUUUAUAUAUUACUUACGUAACAUAUUGUCUUGGCAGAGAACCAAGGAGCAUAGAUAACAGUGAAAUUAGGCAUUAAAAAAAAUCUUUUGGUCAAACGUAUGACUGCUCUGAUCGAACUGGACAGGCCGAUCACUGGCUUGCAGAGAUGUCCAUAUUGUAAUGAGUCACAUAAUAAAAUUGAGAAGCUUAAGAUAUUUGGAGUCCUUGAACAGAAUGAAUUAAUGAAGGAAAGUUUACAAUACAAGGUGCGAUAUUUGUUAUAUAUUUAUAU
Molecule: RNA transcript, 2830 nt
Organism: Scleropages formosus (Asian bonytongue)
Lineage: Eukaryota; Metazoa; Chordata; Actinopteri; Osteoglossiformes; Osteoglossidae
Gene name: protein disulfide-isomerase TMX3-like
Exons: 17
Source: RefSeq, a predicted model, not a curated record